AUGGCGCAGCUGCCGCCGAGAGCGCCGAGCGCGGGGGGGCAGGACUGGCCGGUGGCAGGCGAGUUCCUCGGGUUCGCGGCGGCCCGGCGGGGCGUGCACCGGCGCUCGGCCAGCGAUCCGGCGGCUUUCCUGGAGGCCGUGCCAAUGGACCACAUCCUCAGCGGCGGCGGCGGCGACGACGAGUUCGACAGGCUCGACGACGAGCAGCUCAUGUCCAUGUUCUCCAAUGUCGACGGCGGGUGCGACAGGCCGGGCUUCAUGGACACGGGAGAGGCGGAGGAGGGGACGCCCAGCGCGGGCGCAAUGGCCGCCGCGGACGGCUUCGGUGACCCCAAGAGGGUUAAAAGGAUAUUGGCCAACAGGCAGUCAGCGCAGAGGUCAAGAGUUCGGAAGUUGCAGUACAUCUCAGAGCUUGAACGCAGCGUCACCGGACUCCAGAUGGAGGUGUCAGCACUCUCUCCCCGCGUGGCCUUUCUAGAUCAUCAGCGGUCAUUACUGACCGUGGGCAACAGCCAUCUCAGGCAAAGAAUUGCCGCCCUUGCACAAGACAAGAUCUUCAAAGAUGCUCAUCAAGAGGCACUCAAAGAGGAGAUUGAGCGACUACGGCAGUUGUUCCACCACCAGAAGAUCAAGGCCACAGGCGGCACAGACAUGGCCACGGCCGCCUCAAUGCAAGCCAAGCAAGAGCUCCUUAUGUGUGAGGGAGCCGCGAUGCGAUAA
Molecule: ribosomal RNA, 720 nt
Filed under: Triticum aestivum (bread wheat)
Lineage: Eukaryota; Viridiplantae; Streptophyta; Magnoliopsida; Poales; Poaceae
Description: partial small subunit ribosomal RNA
Source: RNAcentral